GACGAACGCUGGCGGCGUGCCUAAUACAUGCAAGUAGAACGCUGAAGGAGGAGCUUGCUCUUCUGGAUGAGUUGCGAACGGGUGAGUAACGCGUAGGUAACCUGCCUGGUAGCGGGGGAUAACUAUUGGAAACGAUAGCUAAUACCGCAUAAAAUUGAUUAUUGCAUGAUAGUCAAUUAAAAGGUGCAAUUGCAUCACUACCAGAUGGACCUGCGUUGUAUUAGCUAGUUGGUGAGGUAACGGCUCACCAAGGCAACGAUACAUAGCCGACCUGAGAGGGUGAUCGGCCACACUGGGACUGAGACACGGCCCAGACUCCUACGGGAGGCAGCAGUAGGGAAUCUUCGGCAAUGGACGGAAGUCUGACCGAGCAACGCCGCGUGAGUGAAGAAGGUUUUCGGAUCGUAAAGCUCUGUUGUAAGAGAAGAACGAGUGUGAGAGUGGAAAGUUCACACUGUGACGAUAUCUUACCAGAAAGGGACGGCUAACUACGUG
This 495-nucleotide ribosomal RNA is filed under the name uncultured bacterium. RNAcentral's name for it is "partial 16S ribosomal RNA". It matches the Rfam family "Bacterial small subunit ribosomal RNA", at positions 28 to 507 of the family's 1533-position model. The record is from RNAcentral.